GUAGAGUCACCGUGUUAGCCAGUGAUCUCCUGACCUCGUGAUCCGCCCGCAUCGGCCUCCCAAAGUGCUGGGAUUACAGACAUGAGCCACAGCGCCCGGCCCCUGUUUUCAGCUCUUAAACCAGCUUCCUCUGCAAUUCCCAGGAAUCUCAUCCAGAAAUGACAGUGUCCAGAGGAAAAGGAGACUUCUUUGAUGUUUCUCAUAGGAUCAAGAGACAAGGUCUUCCUUUGGCCAGGCUGGAGUGAGUGCAGUGACAUGAU
Non-coding RNA from Chlorocebus sabaeus (green monkey), 260 nucleotides. Lineage: Eukaryota; Metazoa; Chordata; Mammalia; Primates; Cercopithecidae. The record is from RefSeq and is a predicted model, not a curated record.